CAGUAGCCGCGGGAAUACGGAGGGGGCUAGCGUUGUUCGGAAUUACUGGGCGUAAAGCGCAUGUAGGCGGCUUUGUAAGUUAGAGGUGAAAGCCCGGAGCUCAACUCCGGAAUUGCCUUUAAGACUGCAGAGCUAGCAGGUGAGAGAGGUGAGUGGAAUUCCGAGUGUAGAGGUGAAAUUCGUAGAUAUUCGGAAGAACACCAGUGGCGAGGGCGGCUCACUGGCUCAUACUGGACGCUGAGGUGCGAAAGCGUGGGGAGCAAACAGGAUUAGAUACCCGAGUAGUCCCUGUCUCUUAUAC
Molecule: ribosomal RNA, 301 nt
Filed under: uncultured bacterium
Lineage: Bacteria
Description: partial 16S ribosomal RNA
Rfam family: Bacterial small subunit ribosomal RNA
Source: RNAcentral